This 486-nucleotide ribosomal RNA is filed under the name uncultured soil bacterium. Its description in RNAcentral is "bacterial SSU rRNA". It matches the Rfam family "Bacterial small subunit ribosomal RNA", at positions 26 to 511 of the family's 1533-position model. The record is from RNAcentral.
AGAUUGAACGCUGGCGGAAUGCUUUACACAUGCAAGUCGAACGGCAGCACGGACUUCGGUCUGGUGGCGAGUGGCGAACGGGUGAGUAACAUAUCGGAACGUAUCCAAUAAUGGGGGAUGACUAAUCGAAAGGUUGGCUAAUACCGCAUACGCCCUACGGGGGAAAGCUAGGGACCUUCGGGCCUGGCGUUAAUGGAGCGGCCGAUAUCUGAUUAGCUAGUUGGUGGGGUAAAGGCCCACCAAGGCGACGAUCAGUAGCUGGUCUGAGAGGACGACCAGCCACACUGGAACUGAGACACGGUCCAGACUCCUACGGGAGGCAGCAGUGGGGAAUUUGGACAAUGGGCGCAAGCCUGAUCCAGCCAUUCCGCGUGAAUGAAGAAGGCCUUGGGUUGUAAGCUCUUUCGCAAGGAAGAAAACGUUAAGUACUACUAACAAUAGACUGAGGUUGACGUACUUGAUAAGAAGCACGCUAACACGUGCCAG